AUCCAACUGAUGAGUCCUAAAUAGGACGAAACGCGCAUCCUGGAC
RNAcentral lists this non-coding RNA (45 nucleotides) under Schistosoma margrebowiei. Lineage: Eukaryota; Metazoa; Platyhelminthes; Trematoda; Strigeidida; Schistosomatidae. The record is from RNAcentral.